AAAUAGGGUGUCUGAUUUAGGUAAUAAAUUGUAAAUUUAUUUAAGGGUUAAUUUCCUCCUAUU
RNAcentral lists this transfer RNA (63 nucleotides) under Leptocorisa oratoria. RNAcentral's name for it is "tRNA-Tyr". The record is from RNAcentral. Lineage: Eukaryota; Metazoa; Arthropoda; Insecta; Hemiptera; Alydidae.